AAUAUUGCACAAUGGGCGCAAGCCUGAUGCAGCAACGCCGUGUGAGUGAAGAAGGUUUUCGGAUCGUAAAACUCUGUCCUAAGGGAAGAAACAAAUGACGGUACCUUAGGAGGAAGCCCCGGCUAACUACGUGCCAGCAGCCGCGGUAAUACGUAGGGGCAAGCGUUAUCCGGAAUCACUGGGCGUAAAGGGUGCGUAGGCGGCUUAGCAAGCCAGGGGUGAAAGGCAUUGGCUCAACCAAUGUAAGCCUUUGGAACUGUUAAGCUUGAGUGCAGGAGAGGUAAGUGGAAUUCCUAGUGUAGAGGUGAAAUUCGUAGAUAUUAGGAGGAACACCAGUGGCGAAGGCGACUUACUGGACUGUAACUGACGCUGAUGCACGAAAGCGUGGGUAGCGAACAGGAUUAGAUACCCUGGUAG
RNAcentral lists this ribosomal RNA (417 nucleotides) under uncultured bacterium. RNAcentral describes it as "bacterial SSU rRNA". It matches the Rfam family "Bacterial small subunit ribosomal RNA", at positions 360 to 793 of the family's 1533-position model. The record is from RNAcentral.